AGUUUGAUCCUGGCUCAGGAUGAACGCUAGCGACAGGCUUAACACAUGCAAGUCGAGGGGCAGCGGGAUUGAAGCUUGCUUCAAUUGCCGGCGACCGGCGCACGGGUGAGUAACGCGUAUCCAACCUUCCGUACACUCAGGGAUAGCCUUUCGAAAGAAAGAUUAAUACCUGAUGGUAUGAUGAGAUUGCAUGAUAGCAUCAUUAAAGAUUUAUCGGUGUACGAUGGGGAUGCGUUCCAUUAGGUAGUAGGCGGGGUAACGGCCCACCUAGCCAACGAUGGAUAGGGGUUCUGAGAGGAAGGUCCCCCACAUUGGAACUGAGACACGGUCCAAACUCCUACGGGAGGCAGCAGUGAGGAAUAUUGGUCAAUGGACGAGAGUCUGAACCAGCCAAGUAGCGUGAAGGAUGAAGGUCCUACGGAUUGUAAACUUCUUUUAUAAGGGAAUAAACCCUCCCACGUGUGGGAGCUUGUAUGUACCUUAUGAAUAAGCAUCGGCUAACUCCGUGCCAGCAGCCGCGGUAAUACGGAGGAUGCGAGCGUUAUCCGGAUUUAUUGGGUUUAAAGGGAGCGCAGACGGGUCGUUAAGUCAGCUGUGAAAGUUUGGGGCUCAACCUUAAAAUUGCAGUUGAUACUGGCGUCCUUGAGUGCGGUUGAGGUGUGCGGAAUUCGUGGUGUAGCGGUGAAAUGCUUAGAUAUCACGAAGAACUCCGAUUGCGAAGGCAGCACACUAAUCCGUAACUGACGUUCAUGCUCGAAAGUGUGGGUAUCAAACAGGAUUAGAUACCCUGGUAGUCCACACGGUAAACGAUGGAUACUCGCUGUUGGCGAUAUACUGUCAGCGGCUUAGCGAAAGCGUUAAGUAUCCCACCUGGGGAGUACGCCGGCAACGGUGAAACUCAAAGGAAUUGA
Molecule: ribosomal RNA, 911 nt
Filed under: uncultured bacterium
Lineage: Bacteria
Description: bacterial SSU rRNA
Rfam family: Bacterial small subunit ribosomal RNA
Source: RNAcentral